CCUACGGGAGGCAGCAGUGGGGAAUAUUGGACAAUGGGCGAAAGCCUGAUCCAGCAAUUCCGCGUGUGUGAAGAAGGCCUUCGGGUUGUAAAGCACUUUAGUGGGGGAAGAAACAGCUUGGCCACACCAAGCCUUGACGGUACCCCAAGAAUAAGCACCGGCUAACUCUGUGCCAGCAGCCGCGGUAAUACAGAGGGUGCAAGCGUUAAUCGGAUUUACUGGGCGUAAAGGGUGCGUAGGUGGCUAUUUAAGUCGGAUGUGAAAGCCCGGGGCUCAACCUCGGAAUUGCAUUCGAUACUGAGUGGCUAGAGUUCGGUAGAGGGCGGCGGAAUUUCCGGUGUAGCGGUGAAAUGCGUAGAUAUCGGAAGGAACAUCAAUGGCGAAGGCAGCCGCCUGGGCCUGGACUGACACUGAGGCACGAAAGCGUGGGUAGCAAACAGGAUUAGAUACCCUGGUAGUCCACGCCGUAAACGAUGAGAACUUGACGUUGGUUCGUUUUACGAAUCGGUGUCGCNGCUACGCGAUAGUUACUCCGCCGUGGGAGGUACGGCCGCCGAGGUUAGGUAACGUAACGUAAGUAGUUAAGUUAGUACGGUUCGUUGAGACGUUGCCGACGGACGACGACGAGGGAGGAGG
This 636-nucleotide ribosomal RNA is filed under the name uncultured bacterium. RNAcentral's name for it is "bacterial SSU rRNA". The stretch from base 1 to 537 matches the Rfam family "Bacterial small subunit ribosomal RNA", at positions 338 to 873 of the family's 1533-position model. The record is from RNAcentral.